This 109-nucleotide non-coding RNA is filed under the name Cellulomonas sp. Its description in RNAcentral is "SAM-IV sequence". It matches the Rfam family "SAM (S-adenosyl methionine) riboswitch aptamer". Rfam says of the family: SAM-IV is a mRNA element that regulates gene expression via direct sensing of S-adenosylmethionine (SAM or AdoMet). SAM-IV riboswitches share conserved nucleotide positions with the previously described SAM-I riboswitches sequence analysis and molecular recognition experiments suggest that SAM-I and SAM-IV riboswitches share similar ligand binding sites, but have different scaffolds. Lineage: Bacteria; Bacillati; Actinomycetota; Actinomycetes; Micrococcales; Cellulomonadaceae. The record is from RNAcentral.
GGUCACGAGAACCAGCGCCAAGCCCCGGCUCGCUGGUCGGCAACCCCGGUCACGCGCGGGGUGCUCCGGGGGACGACCUGGCCGGCCCACGGGCCGGCAAACGUGACGG